CUACGGGACGCACCAGUGGGGAAUAUUGCACAAUGGGGGAAACCCUGAUGCAGCAACGCCGCGUGGAGGAUGACACAUCUCGGUGCGUAAACUCCUUUUAUAGGUCAAGAUAAUGACGGUAGCCUAUGAAUAAGCGCCGGCUAACUCCGUGCCAGCAGCCGCGGUAAUACGGAGGGCGCAAGCGUUACUCGGAAUCACUGGGCGUAAAGAGCAUGUAGGCGGGUUAAUAAGUCAGAAGUGAAAUCCAAUAGCUCAACUAUUGAACUGCUUUUGAAACUGUUAACCUAGAGUGUGGGAGAGGUAGAUGGAAUUUCUGGUGUAGGGGUAAAAUCCGUAGAGAUCAGAAGGAAUACCGAUUGCGAAGGCGAUCUACUGGAACAUUAUUGACGCUGAGACGCGAAAGCGUGGGGAGCAAACAGGAUUAGAUACCCUCGUAGUC
This 439-nucleotide ribosomal RNA is filed under the name uncultured bacterium. RNAcentral's name for it is "partial 16S ribosomal RNA". It matches the Rfam family "Bacterial small subunit ribosomal RNA", at positions 339 to 795 of the family's 1533-position model. The record is from RNAcentral.